RNAcentral lists this ribosomal RNA (453 nucleotides) under uncultured cyanobacterium. RNAcentral's name for it is "bacterial SSU rRNA". It matches the Rfam family "Bacterial small subunit ribosomal RNA", at positions 28 to 524 of the family's 1533-position model. Lineage: Bacteria; Bacillati; Cyanobacteriota. The record is from RNAcentral.
GAUGAACGCUGGCGGCGUGCCUAACACAUGCAAGUCGAACGGGAAUCUUCGGAUUCUAGUGGCGGACGGGUGAGUAACGCGUAAGAAUCUAACUUCAGGACGGGGACAACAGUUGGAAACGACUGCUAAUACCCGAUAUGCCGCAAGGUGAAACCUAAUUGGCCUGGAGAAGAGCUUGCGUCUGAUUAGCUAGUUGGUGGGGUAAGAGCCUACCAAGGCGACGAUCAGUAGCUGGUCUGAGAGGAUGAGCAGCCACACUGGGACUGAGACACGGCCCAGACUCCUACGGGAGGCAGCAGUGGGGAAUUUUUCCGCAAUGGGCGAAAGCCUGACGGAGCAACGCCGCGUGAGGGAGGAAGGUCUUUGGAUUGUAAACCUCUUUUCUCAAGGAAGACACAGGACGGUACUUGAGGAAUAAGCAUCGGCUAACCCUGUGCCAGCAGCCGCGGUAAU